This 570-nucleotide long non-coding RNA is filed under the name Homo sapiens (human). Its description in RNAcentral is "novel transcript". The record is from RNAcentral. Lineage: Eukaryota; Metazoa; Chordata; Mammalia; Primates; Hominidae.
AAUAACGAGCAAAGUCUCCCGAAAAUAGUUUGAAAGUUGGUUUCUGACAAGAGGAAAGAAAAGGCUGCAACACUAAAGGAAGACUCAAAGUGUUAAAAGGACGCUCAAAAUGUAGUAUUGUGGCAGGUCGGGAAUCCCAUCAUCUUUAUUGAGAGACAUUCCUUUGGAAAGAAUACUUCCAAUCAUUCUAUCAAAAAUCUUAUACUUGAAGAGAAGCCCUGCUGGAAUGAUUUAGGGGAUACAUAGAAUGGAAUGUGAAAUCCUGUAAUUUGCAGCAGCAUGGAUGAAGUGGAGGCCAUUGUCUUGUGAAUAAUUAAAUGUUUUGAUAGUAAAAAAUCAAUGAAUGACCUUCUAUUUGGGUGCGAUCAUCAGUGUGGGAAGACGGCGGCAGUAUACCCAGAACUAGCACAAGCGAACAAAUGGAGAUUCUUGCUCUGUUCCCCAGGCUGGAGUGUAGUGGCACAAUCUCGGCUCACUGCAACCCCUGCCUGCAAGGUUCAAGCGAUUCUUGUGCCUCAGCCUCCCAAGUAGCUGGAAUUACAGAGGCAAAGUUUCACUCUGUGACCCAGG